AUUGAACGCGGGCGGCAGGCCUAACACAUGCAAGUCGAACGGUAGCACAGAGAGCUUGCUCUCGGGUGACGAGUGGCGGACGGGUGAGUAACGUCUGGGAAACUGCCCGAUGGAGGGGGAUAACUACUGGAAACGGUAGCUAAUACCGCAUAACGUCGCAAGACCAAAGUGGGGGACCUUCGGGCCUCACACCAUCGGAUGUGCCCAGAUGGGAUUAGCUAGUAGGUGGGGUAAUGGCUCACCUAGGCGACGAUCCCUAGCUGGUCUGAGAGGAUGACCAGCCACACUGGAACUGAGACACGGUCCAGACUCCUUCGGGAGGCAGCAGUGGGGAAUAUUGCACAAUGGGCGCAAGCCUGAUGCAGCCAUGCCGCGUGUAUGAAGAAGGCCUUCGGGUUGUAAAGUACUUUCAGCGGGGAGGAAGGCGGUGAAGUUAAUAACUUCACCGAUUGACGUUACCCGCAGAAGAAGCACCGGCUAACUCCGUGCCAGCCGCCGCAGUAA
RNAcentral lists this ribosomal RNA (504 nucleotides) under uncultured bacterium. RNAcentral's name for it is "partial 16S ribosomal RNA". It matches the Rfam family "Bacterial small subunit ribosomal RNA", at positions 30 to 523 of the family's 1533-position model. The record is from RNAcentral.